ACGGAAGGCAGCAGUGAGGAAUAUUGGUCAAUGGGCGAGAGCCUGAACCAGCCAUGUCGCGUGGAGGAAUAAGGAUCUAUGGUUCGUAAACUCCUUUUGCGGGGGGAUAAAGUGCGGGACGUGUCCCGCUUUGCAGGUACCCCGCGAAUAAGCAUCGGCUAACUCCGUGCCAGCAGCCGCGGUAAUACGGAGGAUGCGAGCGUUAUCCGGAUUUAUUGGGUUUAAAGGGUGCGUAGGCGGAAUGUUAAGUCAGUGGUAAAAGCGUGUGGCUCAACCAUACCAAGCCAUUGAAACUGGCGUUCUUGAGUGUAAACGAGGUAGGCGGAAUAUGACGUGUAGCGGUGAAAUGCUUAGAUAUGUCAUAGAACCCCGAUUGCGAAGGCAGCUUACCAGCAUACAACUGACGCUGAGGCACGAAUGCGUGGGUAUCAAACAGGAUUAGAUACCCUGGUA
Molecule: ribosomal RNA, 453 nt
Filed under: uncultured Porphyromonadaceae bacterium
Lineage: Bacteria; Pseudomonadati; Bacteroidota; Bacteroidia; Bacteroidales; Porphyromonadaceae
Description: partial 16S ribosomal RNA
Rfam family: Bacterial small subunit ribosomal RNA
Source: RNAcentral